UUAUGUCCCCAGCACAGGGACUCCGGUCACCAGCACAGCGACUCCAGUCCUAAGGACAGCGACUCCGGUUCCCACCAUAGUGCCUCCGGUCCCCAACACAGUGCCUCCAGUCCUCAAGACAGCUACUCCCGUCUCCAAAACAGUGCCUCCGGUCACCAACACAGUGCCUCCAGUCCUCAACACAGUGCCCCUGGUCACCACCACAGUGCCUCCGGUCACCAGCACAGUGCCUCCAGUCCUCAAGACAGCUACUCCGGUCUCCAAAACAGUGCCUCCGGCCACCAACACAGUGCCUCCGGUCACCAGCACAGUGCCUCCUGUUCUCAAGACAGCUACUCCGUUCCCCAACACAGUGCCUCCAGUCCUAAGGACAGGGACUCCGGUCUCCAAAAAGGGCCUCCAGUCACCAGCACAGUGCCUCCAGUCCUAAGGUCAGUGACUCCGGUCCCCAACACAGCGCGCCCGGUUCCCAACACAGCUACUCCCUUCCUCAGCACAGCGACUCCAGUCCUUAGGACAGGGACUACGAUCCCCAGCACAUUGCCUCCAGUUCUAAGGACAUGGUCUCCCAUCCACAGCACAGUGCCUCUGGGACAUCAUGAUAUUAGAAUCAAUGCAGUGUGGUCAGGAAAAAGUGGAUGUGUACUGAUGGCCAAAAUUGGGCCAUAUAAAAUCUUUACGAUGGACAUAGCAUGCCUUGCACCUGGCAGAGAACUCGAGAGCGAGGUUAUUAAUGCAUACAUUCUUUCACUUGUGAGGAAAUAUAACCAGUAGCAUGAGGGCAAGGCCUACAUGAUUGACAGCUUUGCAAUGACCAAAAUAUGGCAAGGGUCACAUAAAAUGUUAAGAAGGGUAUGGUAAUGUAUUCCAGACUGACACCAUGUCUACACUGGAUGCGACAAAGUGACCAUUGCAAAUCAUUUUAAUGUUGUGUCAGUACUUCAUAAAUAAAACGAGGCAGCAGUGUACUGUCAAGGAUUUGUUGUGUCGUGCCGAGUCCAGUGUAUACAGCAUCACUGAUUAUAAUGGUUUCUAUAGUAUUUUGUCGCAAAUGUAUUGCUUCCAUUCUGUAUUAAGGGGGGGUGAAAUGCUCGUUUUCACUCAAUAUCCUGUUAAUCUUGAGUACCUAUAGAGUAGUACUGCAUCCUUCAUAACUCCAAAAAGUCUUUAGUUUUAUUAUAUUUAUAAGAGAAAGAUAGUCUGUACCGAUUUUUCCCGGAAAAACACGACCGACUGGAGGCGUGACGUGUGGGCGGAGCUAAAGAAUCACGAGCGCCAGUAGGCUUUUGCGUUGAGAGCGUUUGGAAGUUGUGACAUUACCUUGAGAUAAAAAAAACAUCAUCCAAAACA
This 1350-nucleotide long non-coding RNA is filed under the name Carassius auratus (goldfish). Its description in RNAcentral is "lncRNA (ENSCARG00000052115.1)". Lineage: Eukaryota; Metazoa; Chordata; Actinopteri; Cypriniformes; Cyprinidae. The record is from RNAcentral.